UACAGAGGUCCCAAGCGUUGUUCGGAUUCACUGGGCGUAAAGGGUGCGCAGGUGGUUUGGCAAGUUUGACGUGAAAGCCCCGGGCUUAACCCGGGAAUGGCGUUGAAAACUGCUUGAACUGGAGGGUUGGAGGGGGGACUGGAAUUCCUGGUGUAGCAGUGAAAUGCGUAGAUAUCAAGAGGAACACCAGUGGCGAAGGCGAGUCCCUGGACAAACCCUGACACUGAGGCACGAAAGCCAAGGGAGCAAACAGG
RNAcentral lists this ribosomal RNA (254 nucleotides) under uncultured bacterium. RNAcentral describes it as "partial 16S ribosomal RNA". It matches the Rfam family "Bacterial small subunit ribosomal RNA", at positions 524 to 776 of the family's 1533-position model. The record is from RNAcentral.